This is a small nuclear RNA of Myotis myotis, 188 nucleotides long. RefSeq annotates it as U2 spliceosomal RNA. The record is from RefSeq and is a predicted model, not a curated record. The transcript has a single exon. NCBI's taxonomy places the organism in Eukaryota, Metazoa, Chordata, Mammalia, Chiroptera, Vespertilionidae.
AUCGCUUCUCGACCUUUUGGCUAAGAUCAAGUGUAGUAUCUGUUCUUAUCAGUUUAAAUAGAUUGACAACCUAGGUGUUCUCGUAAAGCUUUUUGCAUUAUUCAUAUUUGGCAGGGCUUCAAUCAUCCUAACACUGGGAUUGAUCCUAGGUAAUGAAAAAGCAACUUUUCAUAUGCCACAGAACGUAA